This 119-nucleotide ribosomal RNA is filed under the name Pteropus alecto (black flying fox). Lineage: Eukaryota; Metazoa; Chordata; Mammalia; Chiroptera; Pteropodidae. The record is from RNAcentral.
UCCUACAGCCAUACCACCCUCAACAUGCCUGAUCUUGUCUGAUCUCGGAAGCUAAGCAGGGUCGGGCCAGGUUAGUACUUGGAUGGGAGACCAACUAGGAAGACCAGGUGCUGUAGGCU